GGAUAGUUGAGAGUUCUUCAGCAUCCCUAAAGGCCUCAGGCUCCACCUGUAGUUGCUCUGAAGUUGCCCCAUGUUCCUCUUCUACUUCAUCUUUGGCUCCAAGUUUGCUCAAGUCAACUUCGGGAUACAGCUGAGCAACUUGAGCAUUGUAAUCUUUGAAGCCAAUUUGAUGAGCCUCCACUAAUCCCUUAGUGACUUUCUCAAUAAAAAUCUUAAGAAUUCUUGAAGUCAGAGAUCGCUCGAGCAACAGCACCUAAGUAGAGGCUUUAGUAGUAGCUGCCCUCUCCUUGGUAGUCUUGGUAGCUUCCUUAGCUUUGACCCACUUUUCCUUUAGGGCUGUAAUAAUUGGCUCACAGAGAUCGAGCUCUUUCUCAAGCUCGACAUUGGUCUUCUUUUCCUUCACUAGCUGGACCUCGAGCAUAGCUAUUCUCUUCCGACUGGUAGUGAGCUCGACAUCAAGCUAAGCCCUUUCUUUAGUCUUCUUCACCUCUUGCUCCUCUAUAGCCUUAAGGAGUCAUUUGGUGACUUCGGCCCAAGCUUUAGUAGCCUGGGCCCUUUCCUCCAAAGAGUGACUAAGUUGGCUGAAAUUGGUUAGUCCUUAGUUACUCUUCGGGACGGAGUAGAAGAAGGGAGGAGAUUCUUGAACGAAGAAAAGGAUACAAUUACUUUGAAAGAAUUGAACAAGGAGCCAUAUGAGGUAAAAAUCUUAUGUACGGUUCUGUAGAGUGACAGUAAUGG
This 738-nucleotide long non-coding RNA is filed under the name Elaeis guineensis (African oil palm). RNAcentral's name for it is "long non-coding RNA (EGUI_LNC056077)". Lineage: Eukaryota; Viridiplantae; Streptophyta; Magnoliopsida; Arecales; Arecaceae. The record is from RNAcentral.